This 492-nucleotide ribosomal RNA is filed under the name uncultured bacterium. RNAcentral describes it as "partial 16S ribosomal RNA". It matches the Rfam family "Bacterial small subunit ribosomal RNA", at positions 29 to 507 of the family's 1533-position model. The record is from RNAcentral.
AGUGAACGCUGGCGGUAGGCCUAACACAUGCAAGUCGAACGGCAGCACAGUAAGAGCUUGCUCUUACGGGUGGCGAGUGGCGGACGGGUGAGGAAUACAUCGGAAUCUACUUUUUCGUGGGGGAUAACGUAGGGAAACUUACGCUAAUACCGCAUACGACCUACGGGUGAAAGCAGGGGAUCUUCGGACCUUGCGCGAUUGAAUGAGCCGAUGUCGGAUUAGCUAGUUGGCGGUGUAAAGGCCCACCAAGGCGACGAUCCGUAGCUGGUCUGAGAGGAUGAUCAGCCACACUGGAACUGAGACACGGUCCAGACUCCGACGGGAGGCAGCAGUGGGGAAUAUUGGACAAUGGGCGCAAGCCUGAUCCAGCCAUACCGCGUGGGUGAAGAAGGCCUUCGGGUUGUAAAGCCCUUUUGUUGGGAAAGAAAAGCAGCAGGUUAAUACCCCGCUGUUCUGACGGUACCCAAAGAAUAAGCACCGGCUAACUUCGUG